GACGAACGCUGGCGGCGUGCUUAACACAUGCAAGUCGAACGGAAAGGCCCUGCUUUUGUGGGGUGCUCGAGUGGCGAACGGGUGAGUAACACGUGAGUAACCUGCCCUUGACUUUGGGAUAACUUCAGGAAACUGGGGCUAAUACCGGAUAGGAGCUCCUGCUGCAUGGUGGGGGUGGGAAAGUUUCGGCGGUUGGGGAUGGACUCGCGGCUUAUCAGCUUGUUGGUGGGGUAGUGGCUUACCAAGGCUUUGACGGGUAGCCGGCCUGAGAGGGGGACCGGCAAAGUGGGAGCUGAAAGGCGCCCCGGACCCAACCGGGGGGCAGAGGUGGGGAUGGUUCCACAUGGGAGGGAGCCCUACGGCAACAACGCCGCGGGGGGGAUGGGGCCUUUGGGGUAGGAACCCACUUUCCCCUGAGAGGAGCCGGGCUUGACGGUAGGGGGAAAAGAAGCCCCGGCUAACUACGUG
RNAcentral lists this ribosomal RNA (468 nucleotides) under uncultured bacterium. RNAcentral's name for it is "partial 16S ribosomal RNA". It matches the Rfam family "Bacterial small subunit ribosomal RNA", at positions 28 to 507 of the family's 1533-position model. The record is from RNAcentral.